Molecule: transfer RNA, 155 nt
Filed under: Nanobdellota archaeon
Lineage: Archaea; Nanobdellati; Nanobdellota
Description: tRNA-Lys
Rfam family: tRNA (bases 88-155)
Source: RNAcentral
GGGCUCAUGGCUCAGUCCGGAAACGGUUUCGUCCGUUUACACCGAAGAGCGACAUUCGACUUCGUCGAAGUCCCUCGGAAAACGACGAGGCCUUUAGACAAUAGAGCAAUCGGCUCUUAACCGAUAGGUCGGGGGUUCGAAUCCCCCUGGGCCCA